This is a non-coding RNA of Schistosoma mansoni, 45 nucleotides long. The record is from Rfam. NCBI's taxonomy places the organism in Eukaryota, Metazoa, Platyhelminthes, Trematoda, Strigeidida, Schistosomatidae.
AUACAGCUGACGUGUCCCAAAUAGGACGAAACGCUCGUCCUGGAU